CUCACCAUGGCCUGGACGCUCUUUCUCCUGGCACUUGUCACUUAUUGCUCAGGUGCCAGUUCCAAGCCAACAGCAACGGUGACUCAGCCUGCCAGCAUGUCUGUGUCUCUGGGCCAAACAGCGAAACUCUCCUGCACCAGAAGUAGUGCCUCCUGGAGCAACCACUAUGCCUGGUAUCAACAGAAACAGGGACACGUCCCUCGCUUCGUGCUCUAUCAAACCACCAGGAGGGGCGAAGGGAUCCCGGAUCGGUUCACUGGGACUUACUCUGGCAAUGUGGCCUAUUUAACCAUCACUAAUGUCCAGGCUGAAGAUGAAGCUGAUUAUUAUUGUCACGAUGAAUGGUACACUGGCAGUGGUUAUAUGUUUCACAAUGAUAUAGUCUAA
This is a non-coding RNA of Hemicordylus capensis (graceful crag lizard), 387 nucleotides long. NCBI's taxonomy places the organism in Eukaryota, Metazoa, Chordata, Lepidosauria, Squamata, Cordylidae. The record is from the annotation of a RefSeq genome assembly.